Molecule: long non-coding RNA, 332 nt
Filed under: Ananas comosus (pineapple)
Lineage: Eukaryota; Viridiplantae; Streptophyta; Magnoliopsida; Poales; Bromeliaceae
Description: long non-coding RNA (ACOM_LNC042426)
Source: RNAcentral
GUGCGGCCAUCAAGAGUUGCAACAGCUGUGGCAGUGGUGCUCGGGGGCGGUUGCGGCCUGCUGGGGAGGUUGCCGAAGGUCCGGGAGAGGUCGCCGGAGGUCUGGGAGAGGUGUCGGAGAGGGGCCCGUGGGUGGAGAGUGCACCCGACACAAACUAGGCCGAGAUGGAGGGAGGUGGUGGCAAUGUGAGAGGAAGAGAGAGUGUGGGAUGGUUUUUUGGCGGCUGAGGAUGCGCGCCGGCGGCUAGGAGCUGUGCGAUGCAGGCAGAGAAGGAAAGAGAGGCGGUUAGGGGCUCAGCUGAGGGUGGCAAUGGUUAGGGUUAGGGUUUGGAU